UUACUACCCUUGACAUGUCCGGAACUUGCCAGAGAUGGCUUGGUGCCCGAAAGGGAAUCGGAACACAGGUGCUGCAUGGCUGUCGUCAGCUCGUGUCGUGAGAUGUUGGGUUAAGUCCCGCAACGAGCGCAACCCUUAUCAUUAGUUGCUACGCAAGGGCACUCUAAUGAGACUGCCGGUGACAAACCGGAGGAAGGUGGGGAUGACGUCAAGUCCUCAUGGCCCUUAUGGGUAGGGCUUCACACGUCAUACAAUGGUCGGUACAGAGGGUUGCCAAGCCGCGAGGCGGAGCCAAUCCCACAAAGCCGAUCGUAGUCCGGAUUGUUCUCUGCAACUCGAGAGCAUGAAGUCGGAAUCGCUAGUAAUCGCAGGUCAGCAUACUGCGGUGAAUACGUUCCCGGGUCUU
RNAcentral lists this ribosomal RNA (406 nucleotides) under uncultured Thiobacillus sp. Its description in RNAcentral is "bacterial SSU rRNA". It matches the Rfam family "Bacterial small subunit ribosomal RNA", at positions 971 to 1382 of the family's 1533-position model. The record is from RNAcentral. Lineage: Bacteria; Pseudomonadati; Pseudomonadota; Betaproteobacteria; Nitrosomonadales; Thiobacillaceae.